AAUCAUGUGCAUUGAAGAUGGAGAAAGGGGUCACAAGUCAAAGAAUAUGAGAAUCUCUGGAAGCUGAAAAAGGCAAGGAAAUACAUUCUCCUCUACAGCCUCCAGAAGGAACUCUCCCUGCUGGCAGCUUGACUUGAAAGCCCAGAGAAACUAAUUUUGGACUUUCGGUUUCCAGAACUGUAAAAGGAUAAAUUUGUGUCGUUGUAAGCCACCAAGUUUGUGCUGGCUUUGUUACACUAGCAGUAGGUAACUCGUGUACACCACCUCGAAAUGAUCUGGCUCGCGUUUUCUUCCUCCCGACCUGAAUCGAACUUCGGAAUAGGAGAUAAGAUAAAAACAGCAGUGAAAAGGGUAUGCAUUGGAACUGAAACUCUCUCAGCCAGCAAAAGCAGAGAAGACUCUCAUCAGGCAGCAAGUAGCAUUUGGACACACCUUCAAAAGAUGGGGUAAGAUUUGGACACUUGAAGAUUGCUGAGAAAUGAGAAGAAGACAUUAAGCAGAGUGCAAGCAUAGUAGACAAUGAACAUGGAGCCUAAAGCAGAGCAUAGAAAACGGAGGACAACAUCGGGAAACUGGAUGGCUGGAAAGCGUGUGAACAUGUGUAGAGAAAAGAAAAAUGGGAAACUUUAUAUCCUGAAGUCCUGGUUAAAGAGAGUUUGGUCCAAGAGGUUCCCGCAGGAGGCAAGAAACCAGCCGGAGAAGUUCAUAGGCAAAUAA
This is a long non-coding RNA of Callithrix jacchus (white-tufted-ear marmoset), 717 nucleotides long. NCBI's taxonomy places the organism in Eukaryota, Metazoa, Chordata, Mammalia, Primates, Cebidae. The record is from Ensembl.